Molecule: ribosomal RNA, 254 nt
Filed under: uncultured prokaryote
Description: partial 16S ribosomal RNA
Rfam family: Bacterial small subunit ribosomal RNA
Source: RNAcentral
AAUACGUAGGGGGCAAGCGUUGUCCGGAAUCAUUGGGCGUAAAGAGCGCGUAGGCGGUCCGGUAAGUCCGCUGUAAAAGUCAAAGGCUCAACCUUUGAAAGCCGGUGGAUACUGCCGGGCUAGAGUCCGGAAGAGGCGAGUGGAAUUCCUGGUGUAGCGGUGGAAUGCGCAGAUAUCAGGAGGAACACCUAUGGCGAAGGCAGCUCGCUGGGACGGUACUGACGCUGAGGCGCGAAAGCGUGGGGAGCAAACAG